UUAGUGGAAGCGUCUGGAAAGGCGCGCGAUACAGGGUGACAGCCCCGUACACAAAAGCGCAUGUGCUGUGAGCUCGAUGAGUAGGGCGGGACACGUGGUAUCCUGUCUGAAUAUGGGGGGACCAUCCUCCAAGGCUAAAUACUCCUGACUGACCGAUAGUGAACCAGUACCGUGAGGGAAAGGCGAAAAGAACCCCGGCGAGGGGAGUGAAAAAGAACCUGAAACCGUGUACGUACAAGCAGUGGGAGCACAGGUUUACCUGUGUGACUGCGUACCUUUUGUAUAAUGGGUCAGCGACUUAUAUUCUGUAGCAAGGUUAACCGAAUAGGGGAGCCGCAGGGAAACCGAGUCUUAACCGGGCGUUAAGUUGCAGGGUAUAGACCCGAAACCCGGUGAUCUAGCCAUGGGCAGGUUGAAGGUUGGGUAACACUAACUGGAGGACCGAACCGACUAAUGUUGAAAAAUUAGCGGAUGACCUGUGGCUGGGGGUGAAAGGCCAAUCAAACCGGGAGAUAGCUGGUUCUCCCCGAAAGCUAUUUAGGUAGCGCCUCGUGAAUUCAUCUCCGGGGGUAGAGCACUGUUUCGGCUAGGGGGYCAUCCCGGCUU
Molecule: ribosomal RNA, 606 nt
Filed under: Salmonella enterica
Lineage: Bacteria; Pseudomonadati; Pseudomonadota; Gammaproteobacteria; Enterobacterales; Enterobacteriaceae
Description: partial 23S ribosomal RNA
Source: RNAcentral